Long non-coding RNA from Hemicordylus capensis (graceful crag lizard), 578 nucleotides. RefSeq lists it as uncharacterized. The transcript has 3 exons. Lineage: Eukaryota; Metazoa; Chordata; Lepidosauria; Squamata; Cordylidae. The record is from RefSeq and is a predicted model, not a curated record.
CCCCCUAGGAACCAGACUGGUUGGAGCAGCUUGAGUAGCAGUUGUUCCAGCCAGUAAGACCAAAAGAGGAAGUUACAGGCAGGGGAGGAGGGGCUGGAGGAAGCUCCCUAUUCUGAAGGUUUCCCUUGCUGCUGAGGAAACUGACCAGAAAGGUUAUCCUGGACUUUGAACUGCUUGUGGAAGGGCCUUCUGAACAUGGAAAUAAUCUUGUCAUGCUUAUAGCAUUUGCCUUUGCAGACAAUCAAACAUGGACCUGGCUUUUCUAGUAGCACAUCCAGUCUCCACACUGACUCCACCUGAAGGAUUUACCACCACUGACAUACACGAACAACUGUAGAACCAGAACAGGCUAUGCUGUACUCCACACAGCCAGCUUCUUGCAAUCAGCAUGGGGGUGAGGGUGGGGGCCCUAUGUGAAGAUGAAGCUGUCUCUUUCAGGAACACUGCCUGAAUGACGGCACCUAGGCAUUAACAAAGGCAGCUACCAUGCAGGUAUUCUCUUAAUAGCUUGCACAAGACCACAAAGUGAAUGUAAAUGCCAUCUGAAUUUUGCUGCACUGCUUUUUGCUUCCCCUGCU